This 1377-nucleotide ribosomal RNA is filed under the name Ancylomarina subtilis. RNAcentral describes it as "bacterial SSU rRNA". It matches the Rfam family "Bacterial small subunit ribosomal RNA". Lineage: Bacteria; Pseudomonadati; Bacteroidota; Bacteroidia; Marinilabiliales; Marinifilaceae. The record is from RNAcentral.
UGCAGUUCGAGGGGUAGAGAGAGCUUGCUUUCUUGAGACCGGCGCACGGGUGAGUAACGCGUAUGCAACCUACCUUAUACUGGGGGAUAGCCCAAAGAAAUUUGGAUUAAUACCGCAUAAUAUAUUUGAAUCGCAUGGUUURAAUAUUAAAACUCCGGUGGUAUAAGAUGGGCAUGCGUAGCAUUAGUUUGUUGGUGAGGUAACGGCUCACCAAGACUAUGAUGCUUAGGGGGUCUGAGAGGAUAGUCCCCCACACUGGUACUGAGACACGGACCAGACUCCUACGGGAGGCAGCAGUGAGGAAUAUUGGUCAAUGGACGCAAGUCUGAACCAGCCAUGUCGCGUGCAGGAUGACGGCCCUAUGGGUUGUAAACUGCUUUUUUACAGGAAUAAUUGCAGGUACGUGUACCUGUUUGAAUGUACUGUAUGAAUAAGGAUCGGCUAACUCCGUGCCAGCAGCCGCGGUAAUACGGAGGAUUCGAGCGUUAUCCGGAUUUAUUGGGUUUAAAGGGUCCGUAGGCGGCUUUUUAAGUCAGUGGUGAAAUCCCAGAGCUCAACUCUGGAACUGCCAUUGAAACUGAAGAGCUUGAAUAUGGUUGAGGUAGGCGGAAUACGUUAUGUAGCGGUGAAAUGCAUAGAUAUAACGUAGAACACCAAUUGCGAAGGCAGCUUACUAAACCAUUAUUGACGCUGAUGGACGAAAGCGUGGGGAGCGAACAGGAUUAGAUACCCUGGUAGUCCACGCCGUAAACGAUGAUUACUCGUUGUGCACAAUACACCGUGCGUGACUGAGCGAAAGCAUUAAGUAAUCCACCUGGGGAGUACGUUCGCAAGAAUGAAACUCAAAGGAAUUGACGGGGGCCCGCACAAGCGGAGGAACAUGUGGUUUAAUUCGAUGAUACGCGAGGAACCUUACCUGGACUUAAAUGUAGAUUGACCGGUUUAGAAAUAGAUCUUCCCUUCGGGGCAAUUUACAAGGUGCUGCAUGGUUGUCGUCAGCUCGUGCCGUGAGGUGUCGGGUUAAGUCCCAUAACGAGCGCAACCCCUAUCGUUAGUUGCUAGCAGGUAAUGCUGAGGACUCUAGCGAGACUGCCACCGUAAGGUGAGAGGAAGGUGGGGAUGACGUCAAAUCAGCACGGCCCUUACGUCCAGGGCUACACACGUGUUACAAUGGCCAGUACAAAGGGCAGCUACCUGGUGACAGGAUGCUAAUCUCAAAAGCUGGUCUCAGUUCGGAUCGGAGUCUGCAACUCGACUCCGUGAAGUUGGAUUCGCUAGUAAUCGUAUAUCAGCAAUGAUACGGUGAAUACGUUCCCGGGCCUUGUACACACCGCCCGUCAAGCCAUGGAAGCCGAGGGUGCCUGAAGUACGUACCGC